Long non-coding RNA from Herpailurus yagouaroundi (jaguarundi), 387 nucleotides. RefSeq lists it as uncharacterized. The record is from RefSeq and is a predicted model, not a curated record. Lineage: Eukaryota; Metazoa; Chordata; Mammalia; Carnivora; Felidae. The transcript has 2 exons.
UACUGAACUGAACCUCUGAGGUUGGGACCCACGAACUGCAACUUGACAAGCUCUUCAGUUGAUCCUUGUGGUGAUCCUGACAUUUGAGAACCACUGCUGAACGUGAAAGAGGGAAAAUCAGAGUCCAAAUGCCUUCUAACUUAGAACUAUAUUCGAUGGGGUGGUGGAGACCCUUCAUUGAUGGAAUGAUAUGCCAAACCUAAGAAACACCAUACUAUAUUAUGACAAGCCUGAUGAAGUCCAGAAUACUACAUUGUUCGAAAUAAAAUGAUGUCUACGAAUGCUAAGUAGCCUACAGACCACCUGUAACCAACAUUUGAGCCUGCCAAAAGAUGAGUUCAUCCAAAACACUGUGCAAUUAGCAAAUAAAAUAUAAAUUCCAGGAGA